This 192-nucleotide ribosomal RNA is filed under the name uncultured bacterium. RNAcentral's name for it is "partial 16S ribosomal RNA". It matches the Rfam family "Bacterial small subunit ribosomal RNA", at positions 340 to 524 of the family's 1533-position model. The record is from RNAcentral.
UACGGGAGGCAGCAGUGGGGAAUUUUGGACAAUGGGCGCAACCCUGAUCCAGCCAUGCCGCGUGAGUGAAGAAGGCCUUCGGGUUGUAAAGCUCUUUCGGCCGGGAAGAAAUCGCAUGGGCCAAUACCCUGUGUGGAUGACGGUACCGGAAUAAGAAGCACCGGCUAACUACGUGCCAGCAGCCGCGGUAAU